Molecule: long non-coding RNA, 636 nt
Filed under: Olea europaea (common olive)
Lineage: Eukaryota; Viridiplantae; Streptophyta; Magnoliopsida; Lamiales; Oleaceae
Description: long non-coding RNA (OEUR_LNC001094)
Source: RNAcentral
CCACUGUCCCAAUAAAAUAGACAACCUUCUUCUGGUCUCUUCCCAAGGCCCAAUCCCGAUACUUCCCCCUCUGACACCACCUCCACUCAUUCUCUUAGACUUCAUCGCUAACAUCGCCUACACCGAACAAAACAAGCCAGUAAUACACAAUAUUUACAGUUAAUUCUUGGCGGAUGUCAGCCAAAAACUUGUUCAAUUGAUUCCUAAAUUUGUAAAUUUACAGAUUAUUACACUGGUGGAGCUGGUGACGGCAACUAAAGUUUAACCUCCGUCGUGAACGAUACAAGUUUGGAAUAAGCUAAUGAGCUGGCUCGCCUUCUUCUUCUUGAUCUUCUUUUAGAUCCUCGAGGCACCCUUAGGUUCUCUCUCGUGUUUGCGUACGCCAUAACUCCUUCCACUUUUCAACUCGUCAAGCGUCUUCGCAGUUCAAGGCUUUAUCGAUAGUUGAGUUGUCUGAGUUUCAAGAAGUAUCCAAAGAGACUCUGUUUACACCUCCCGUCGUUGUCCCAAUCACUAAUGCUACAGGACGAUUGACAGUUGCUUCACCUUUUGAGAAGAUGAAUAGGGGUUUUGAUUUCUUGUUUCUUGUUUUUUGUCUUUUUUAUUUUUUAUAUUUAAAUUCAAAGUUACCAUUUU